This 253-nucleotide ribosomal RNA is filed under the name uncultured Gemmata sp. RNAcentral describes it as "partial 16S ribosomal RNA". It matches the Rfam family "Bacterial small subunit ribosomal RNA", at positions 524 to 776 of the family's 1533-position model. Lineage: Bacteria; Pseudomonadati; Planctomycetota; Planctomycetia; Gemmatales; Gemmataceae. The record is from RNAcentral.
GACGAACCGAGCGAACGUUGUUCGGAAUCACUGGGCUUAAAGGGCGCGUAGGCGGGCUGUCAAGUCUGGGGUGAAAUCCCGCGGCUCAACCGUGGAACUGCCUCAGAUACUGACGGUCUCGAGGGAGGUAGGGGCGAGCGGAACUGAUGGUGGAGCGGUGAAAUGCGUUGAUAUCAUCAGGAACUCCGGUGGCGAAGGCGGCUCGCUGGACCUCUUCUGACGCUGAGGCGCGAAAGCUAGGGGAGCAAACGGG